RNAcentral lists this ribosomal RNA (484 nucleotides) under uncultured bacterium. RNAcentral's name for it is "partial 16S ribosomal RNA". It matches the Rfam family "Bacterial small subunit ribosomal RNA", at positions 30 to 507 of the family's 1533-position model. The record is from RNAcentral.
AUUGAACGCUGGCGGCAGGCCUAACACAUGCAAGUCGAGCGGAAGCACAGAGCUUGCUCCUGGUUUCAGCGGCGGACGGGUGAGUAAUUCAUAGGAAUCUGGCUGGUAGUGGUUGCUAAGGUCCGGACGCGGGGGCUAAUACGCCAAUAGCCCAGAGGGAGUACGUGGGGAAUCUUCGGACCUUCGGCCAUUGGAUGAGCCUAGGUCGGAUUAGCUAGUUGGUGGGGUAAAGGCCUACCAAGGCGACGAUCCGUAACUGGUCUGAGAGGAUGAUCAGUCACACUGGAACUGAGACACGGUCCAGACUCCUACGGGAGGCAGCAGUGGGGAAUAUUGGACAAUGGGCGAAAGCCUGAUCCAGCCAUGCCGCGUGGGUGAAGAAGGUCUUCGGAUUGUAAAGCACUUUAAGUUGGGAGGAAGGGCAGUAAGUUAAUACCUUGCUGUUUUGACGUUACCAACAGAAUAAGCACCGGCUAACUUCGUG